This 303-nucleotide long non-coding RNA is filed under the name Capsicum annuum. Its description in RNAcentral is "long non-coding RNA (CANN_LNC013789)". The record is from RNAcentral. Lineage: Eukaryota; Viridiplantae; Streptophyta; Magnoliopsida; Solanales; Solanaceae.
CAUUAGAUACGAAUCCAAAGAUGAAGAGAAAAACAAAAAAUAUCACUACUUUGUAAAUGAAGAGUUUUAGAGUAAGCAUUACACAAUCUCCAAGAUGAUUUUUUUUUGAAAAAAAAAGAGAAUAGAUCAUCCAUUUUUCUACCGCAUAUCCUAGUUUGACACCAAGCAACGAAGCUCUUUCUCUAAAAGAAUUUUUCUAAAUUCUUUUCUAAUAAGAGUUUGUCAUUAACCAAAAAUUUUUAUAUACACAAGAGAAUCCUAAUAAGGUCUUUCACUCGAAAGGAAAGUGCAAAAAAAGAAGGA